UUACGACGGAUACCCCAGGUUUUAGAAAUGUAAGAAAACCGCUUUUUCCAUCUUCAUACUUGAAUUUCCAUUCAUAGACAUACUUUCACUUAGUUGUAAAGUCACCGAAUGAGGGCAAUUUUGUCAAAUAACAAUCUAGUAAUUGUCUAAAGUAGUCUUGACCGGGUUGACCAAGUGGUUUUAUGACGUGGCAGUUCGGCGCCUGACCAAAGGCUGUUUUGGGGCGGGCCCCGCUUAAGCCUCUUCCUUAAAUAAUUUAAUUAUUUACAAAAAAAAAUAUGUGAGUAAAUUACAGCUGGAGUCUAGGUGCGCCCUACUUCUUUAAUAAAGUAAUUUGUUGGGCUUCGCAAGUGAUCACGACAGGAACUUCUCUUGUGAGCGAAUGCAACAAUGCCAGAUGGUCGCGCCACGUUGUGUUGUCCUAUAUGGAAAGGCUCUGUGUAACAGUGUGUUGGCUGUUUGGACUAAGAAGCGGAUUUAUUCGAAGCGGAGUCAAGUGCUGUGCAGUAAGGAUACAAGAUAUUUCGAGGUAGUUAAUCACGUGGAAACGGCGUGACCAAGGGGUUUCCUCACUCUCCCAUGUGUAGCUCCUCCCUGCCCCCUCGCCUCCACUCGGUGAUUCUCUUGUCUUCCAGAAGGCGAUCGCCUGAUCCCUUCCCGAUCGCAACCGUCUGAGCCGAAACGGGUAGUCCCGUGGAGACGAUCGAGAAGUUUGACAAGGAUUCGGUUUUCGGCGUUUUCCCUUCCGCUUGUGUGAUUAUCAUAAUCUAAUUGUCUCUUUUACCUAUUUUGUUCAGCUUUACCGUAGUUUGUUCUGUAUUUGUGCGGGAAAUGAUUUUACUUUAACAAUAUGGAAAAUUUUCUUUUAAGGGAUCAUUGCUAGCUCGUUGCUGUUCCUAUUGGUGUAAUUCUUUUUAAUAGACCAGAUGUAUGCAACAGCUUAAGACAGUAAAGCUAAAACCGUUCUGCUUUUUGAGGAGUCCGUCAAACUGGACUGAGUCGCCACACACGAUCUUGUUUAGCUCAGCAAUGGCCUCUGCGUUAAUAUUGUGCAGCUGCUGUUUUUUGUGCUUCAUAUUUUAGGGUAAUUAUAGAUAAAUGUGCGGUAAAUAAUGUCAAUGCUUGAGAGAAUGCAGAGCUUAGGACGGUAGCGGCAAGGUUGCUCCUGAUGCACGGUAUAAUGGUAUCUAUGUAGGACUUCAUGAUUGCCUUUAGUUUUGGGUUUCGCCGAAUAAUGUUCUUGAAAUUGAAAAAUGUGAAGUAGUGGAUUGGAUGCUUGUAGGCAAUUGACAUCAUGAAGUGUUGAAGCGAUUCCACACUCCAAUGCUUCGAGAUCUCGGCCGUUGGUUGUUGACGAGCUUCCUUCCCACUCCUGUUGGAGUGAGUUAGGAAUGAUAAUUACUGAGUUGACAGCAUUCAAUUCUUACUAUAAUUAGCGUAUCACUUGUUAGGAAUAUAAUCUCUAAAUUACAGUAGGAUAAGCAGCAUUCAACUAGUGGGAAAAGGCUUGGUUGUUGUUGUUGUUAUAGGCAUCAUUCAAUUCUUUACUGUAAUUAUCAUAUCACAUUGUAUCACUAUAUAAUGUAUGUAUUAUCGUUGGAUAAUUCAAGGAAAAGAAAUACUUUUCUUCUACCUAAAGGUUUUGACAUGGUAUUAGAGCUAGUUACAACCUCUACAUUCUAAUUCUUCCACCACCCUAUCAUGGCCGUUGAAAUUCCUUCAACCGACCUAACCACUCAAUGUAAUCAACUCGGCAGUCACACAACCUCUGGAUCUGACAUAGCUAUAGCCCCGAUUGGCGUAAAGUUGGAUGGCUCCAACUAUUCUUUAUAGUCCAGGUGGUUGAAAUGUAUAUUCCGGACAAAGAUAAAUUGGGAUAUAUCAAUGGAGAUUUCCCUCAGCCAGCCCUGACCGAUCCGGCCUUUCGACGAUGGCAUACUAAUAAUGUUAUUGUCAAAGGUUAGUUAAUCAACUCUAUGGAUGCCUUCCUUAUUUUGAAUUUUAUUCGUUUCCCAACCGCGAAAUCGGUGUGGGACGCCCUGGCCACAACACCUCUCAAGUGUACGAUCUUUAUCGUCGUUUGACAUGACUUAAACAAGUCGGUGGUUUUCUAGAGAAGUUCUAUUUAGAUCAUCAAGGACUUUGGCGGGAAAUUGAUUUCUGACGACUAAAUCUGAUGGACUACCCAGUUGAUAUUCAGCGGUACAAUUCCUUGGUUCAAGAAGACUGCGUCUACCUAUUUUUGGAUGGCCUUGAUAAUAUGCAUAGCGAUAUCCUAUAACUCUAGCUGCUCGCCACACUAUAGCAAGCUUUUAUCCAUGUUCGUCGAGAGGCUACUCGGCAAUUAGUAAUGACCAACCACCCUAUGAAUGAUCUACAUGGAGCAACCUUAGCAACUUGAGGUUCUCGGUCAAGCUCGCGGGUUCCACCACACGUUGGUUCUCGGUCGAGUCCUGGUGGGAGAACAGGUCCAACCGCUAAGCCCGCUCUUUGCUCGCAUUGUGGUAGCGUUAUUCACUCCCGUGACAACUGUUUUAAACUUUAUGGAUACCCUAACUGGUGGCAUGACCUCCAAGCCGGCAAGAGAAAAGAUAGCAGUGGGCAGGGCUUUUGGCCAAGCCAGGCAGGUAGACUUAGCAAGGCAUCUCUGGUUGACGAGCAAGAUGUUGGACAGGACCGUUUGUCUAGCCUGAUGGUCAAGCCAAGCCAAGUUGCAGUGGCAAGAGCACCUGCCCAAACAACAGGGCAGAACGUUGAUCUAGGCCAGACCAUUGGACAAGAUAGUCCAAGUCGGGCAGUCGAGCAGCAGAUGUCCAUCCUUCCACCUGAUGGUCUACCUACUUCCUCAGGUACUCUUCUUGGUUCGGCUCAAGGGAUAGCAUAUCAUUCCUGGACACUUGAUUUUGGUGCAACAUAUCACAUGACUUUUAAUGUGACUGAUUUUACUUAGCGCUCUCCUCCCAAGCGAACCACAAUUGCCAAUGUUAAUAGUGGCAAAUCUUUGGUAACUGGGGUUGGGACUGUACAAUUGUCCCCUAUCCUAUUCUUAUCUAAUAUCCUACUAGUGCUUUCCUUGGCGCACAGACUACUAUCUGUUGGCCAACUUACUAAAGACUUGCACUGUACUGAUUUAUCCAUGUUUUGUGUCAUUCUGACAAAGGAGAUCAUUGGACGUAGUACUAAGAGGGAGGAAGUGCUCACCACACAUCCAGUGAUUGUCAAGCAUAACAGGUUCUUCUAAAGCGUCAUCAACUGGGCUACCCUUCUUUCAGUUAUUUGCACCAUAUGUUUUUAGCUUUAUUUUUAGGUUCAUCUCCUAUGGAUUUUAAAUAUGAAACUUGU
This is a long non-coding RNA of Zingiber officinale, 3342 nucleotides long. RefSeq lists it as uncharacterized. The record is from RefSeq and is a predicted model, not a curated record. The transcript is spliced from 2 exons. Lineage: Eukaryota; Viridiplantae; Streptophyta; Magnoliopsida; Zingiberales; Zingiberaceae.